AACGCNUGGCNGCGUGAUAGCAAUACUCCAUAGCUGUCCCCACCGGCUGCAGAGAACACAGUAUCGUAAUCUGCCCUUGAGUGGGGGAUAACCCGGGGAAACCCGGACUAAUACCGCAUGAUCUUUUCGGAGCAAAGAGGGGGACCGCAAGGCCUCUCGCUCUUGGAGGAGCCUACGUCUGAUUAACUAGUUGGUAGGGUAAAGGCCUACCAAGGCGACUAUCAGUAACUGGUCUGAUAGGAUGAUCAGCCACACCGGAACUGAGACACUGUCCGGACUCCUACGGGAGGCAGCAGUGGGGAAUAUUGGACAAUGGGCGCAAGCCUGAUCCACCAAUGCCCCGUGUGUGAAGAAGGCCUUCGGGUUGUAAAGCACUUUAGCCUGGAAAGAAAACGCUUUGGCUAACAUCCAAAGUCUUGACGGUACCAUGAGAAUAAGCACCGGCUAACUCUGUGCCA
This 458-nucleotide ribosomal RNA is filed under the name uncultured bacterium. Its description in RNAcentral is "bacterial SSU rRNA". It matches the Rfam family "Bacterial small subunit ribosomal RNA", at positions 50 to 510 of the family's 1533-position model. The record is from RNAcentral.